UAAGGAAUAUUGGUCAAUGGAGGCAACUCUGAACCAGCCAUGCCGCGUGAAGGAUUAAGGCCCUCUGGGUUGUAAACUUCUUUUAUAUGGGAAGAAAUGUUCUGAUUCUUCAGAGCUUGACGGUACCAUAGGAAUAAGCACCGGCUAACUCCGUGCCAGCAGCCGCGGUAAUACGGAGGGUGCAAGCGUUAUCCGGAUUCACUGGGUUUAAAGGGUGCGUAGGUGGGCAGAUAAGUCAGUGGUGAAAUCUUCCGGCUUAACCGGAAAAUUGCCGUUGAUACUAUUUGUCUUGAAUAUUGUGGAGGUAAGCGGAAUAUGUCAUGUAGCGGUGAAAUGCUUAGAUAUGACAUAGAACACCAAUUGCGAAGGCAGCUUACUAUAUAAUUAUUGACACUGAGGCACGAAAGCGUGGGUAGCGAACA
Molecule: ribosomal RNA, 422 nt
Filed under: uncultured bacterium
Lineage: Bacteria
Description: bacterial SSU rRNA
Rfam family: Bacterial small subunit ribosomal RNA
Source: RNAcentral